This 509-nucleotide ribosomal RNA is filed under the name uncultured bacterium. RNAcentral's name for it is "partial 16S ribosomal RNA". The stretch from base 20 to 332 matches the Rfam family "Bacterial small subunit ribosomal RNA", at positions 47 to 358 of the family's 1533-position model. The record is from RNAcentral.
GACGAACGCUGGCGGCGUGCUUAACACAUGCAAGUCGAACGGAAAGGCCCUGCUUUUGUGGGGUGCUCGAGUGGCGAACGGGUGAGUAACACGUGAGUAACCUGCCCUUGACUUUGGGAUAACUUCAGGAAACUGGGGCUAAUACCGGAUAGGAGCUCCUGCUGCAUGGUGGGGGUUGGAAAGUUUCGGCGGUUGGGGAUGGACUCGCGGCUUAUCAGCUUGUUGGUGGGGUAGUGGCUUACCAAGGCUUUGACGGGUAGCCGGCCUGAGAGGGUGACCGGCGCCAGGCGGGCUGGGGGACGGCGCCGCUCAGGGGGGGAGGCGGCCGGGGGGAGGAUGGGCCGGCGGGGGGAGGCGGGGGGCGGGAGGGCGGGGGGCGGGCGGGCGGCGUGCGGGUCGUCAACCGCUGUCGCCUGUGACGAGGCGUGGGGGAGGGUGAGGGGAAAAGAAGCACCGGGUAACUAGGGGCCGGCAGCCGCGUGAAUAAGCGGAAACGCCUACGCCUGAAC